RNA transcript from Dinoponera quadriceps, 2237 nucleotides. It is a transcript of the gene named cytochrome P450 9e2, with no coding region annotated. Lineage: Eukaryota; Metazoa; Arthropoda; Insecta; Hymenoptera; Formicidae. The record is from RefSeq and is a predicted model, not a curated record. The transcript has 2 exons.
CACUUCAUCCUUACCGACGAUCUGAAAUUAUCGACUCUUUUCCUCUUCUUAUGUCGAAUGUUUACCAGUAGUUAAAAAACUGGAGAGUGAUUAUGUACACAUUAGAUCAUUGCGCGAUGUUCGAUUUCAAUUGGUCAUCUAUCUUCCAUAAUGUCAUCAUGGAGAUGAUCUUUAUGAAACUCUUGUGGAUAACUAUACUAACAUGCAGUAGUGAGUCAUAACCGCCAGUCGUGCGUAGCAAUUCGCGAGCAUCGCAGCACUGCAGCGUCGUAGUUGCGUAAUUGAAUUUUUACAAUCGUUUGUUUGUGACUUAAUUCUGGCAAAAAUUUGAGACAAUAUUUAUCAUGGAAUACUGGACGAUACUGUUAUCCGUCGCGAUAGGAGCUCUCAGCAUCCAUUAUCUCUUCAAACAUUUUAAUUUCUUUAAAAGACACGGUCUAAUUCAUGCGCCGUCUAUUCCGAUAUUAGGCUGCAUGGCGCCGGUAUUGUUUCGCCAAACGUCAUUCACUGAAAUUCUGCAGGAUGUGUACAAUUACAAUCCGGACGCUAAGUACUUGGGAUUUUACGGUAUGACGCAACCUAUCAUCAUGCUUCGUGAUCCGGAGCUCAUCAAAGAGAUACUCAUUAAGAAUUUCGACUCAUUUCCAAAUCGUCGUGGUUUCGUGGAGAUCAACGAUCCCUUAUCGGCAAAGAAUUUAUUCUCUCUCAGGGAUCAAAAGUGGCACGACGUAAGAACUUUAUUAAGCCCAGCCUUCACGACCAGCAAGUUGAAGGCCAUGUUUGUAUUAAUGUCGGAGUGCGCUGUAGACUUCACCGAGUUUCUAUCGGAAACAUCGGCGGAUAAAAGUGAGAUCGAUAUGAAAGAUGCCUUCACUAAAUUCACGACUGAUGUCAUCGCAACGUGCGCCUUCGGAAUUAAGGUAGACACUAUGAGAAAUCCAACGAACAGAUUUUUCAUCUACGGCAAAGAAAUAACCAACUUCCAAGGGGUUCGGGGGAUAAAGUUUCUCACUUUCAAAAUGUUCCCGAAACUAGCUCAUUUCCUCGGCUUGAAGAUGAUAAGCGAGAAAAUAGUGAAUUUCUUUAAGAACAUCGUAGAAACCACAAUUGUGUCGCGCGACGCCGAGAACAUCACCCGUCCGGAUAUGAUACAACUUAUGAUGGACAUGAGAGGCAAACGCGGGGCCGAGAGAGAAUUGAGUAUCGAAGACAUGACCGCCCAGGCAUUCAUCUUUUUCUUCGCCGGUUUCGAUAGCAGCGCAACCGUGAUGUCCUUCGCGGCUCAUGAGAUCGCGAUUAAUCCGGACGUUCAGGCGAAAUUGUGGCGAGAGAUCGACGAGGUUCUGGAGGAAUCGAACGGGAAAGUCACUUAUGAGGCCAUUAAUCGGCUGAAGUAUUUGGAUGCGGUAUUGAGCGAAACUCUCAGGAUGUAUACAGCACCUUUCAUAGAGAGAGAGUGCGAGAGAGAUUACGAAUUGCCUCCCACGUUGCCGAACGAGAAACCGUUUACUUUGAAGAAAGGUAUGCUUGUCUGGAUGCCGAUUUACGCGAUUCAUCGUGACGGGAAGUACUACGAUGACCCGGAAAAAUUUCGCCCGGAGAGAUUCUUGGACAACAACGUUUACCACAAUUCUUCGUGUUACAUACCAUUCGGACUAGGGCCGCGUAUUUGCAUAGCUAAUAGAUUCGCUCUGUUGGAGAUUAAAGUCUUGCUGUUUCAUCUAUUAGCGCGAUGCGAGUUAAGACCUUGCGCGAAGACCACGUUAAAAUUGAGCAAGAGUUUGGCGAUAAUGCUGGAAGGCGGAUUCUGGUUGAACGUUAAACGCAGAAGCGAUGUACACCCUAUGAUUGAUGUUGGAUCAACGACGCCUGACGACGACGUGAUUAAUUCUUGAAGACAUUUAAGCACCCUGUAAGUUAAUUUUAAAAUCGUUGUCAGAGAUUAUUUCCGAAGUCCUACAUUUAGUUUAGUUAUAUAUGGAAAAGAGUGACCGUCCACGCAUUUUCUUCAGGAACGAAAAGAUCGGAUAAAUUCAGAAGCUAGUCGUGGCAUUUCUGACACCUUCCAUCGAUCCAGGAGACCAGAAACCAGUUACGUUGUUCUGAACGAGAGAAAAGAGCGUUUUCCUAUUCAUCGCAUCAGAACGCUGUGUGUUCAGGAUAUUAAUAGAUAUAUAAGCACGUAAUAUUAUUUAAUAUUAAGUAAUAUUUCUGGAAUAUUAAUAGAUAGUUAUACG